GGUUGUGGCUCAGUGGUAAGAGUGCUCUCCUAGCACACGUGAGGCGCUGGGUUCAAUCCUCAGCACCA
Molecule: transfer RNA, 68 nt
Filed under: Marmota monax (woodchuck)
Lineage: Eukaryota; Metazoa; Chordata; Mammalia; Rodentia; Sciuridae
Description: tRNA.Ala
Source: RNAcentral